GACGAACGCUGGCGGCGUGCUUAACACAUGCAAGUCGAACGGAAAGGCCCUGCUUUUGUGGGGUGCUCGAGUGGCGAACGGGUGAGUAACACGUGAGUAACCUGCCCUUUACUUUGGGAUAACUUCAGGAAACUGGGGCUAAUACCGGAUAGGAGCUCCUGCUGCAUGGGGGGGGUAGGAAAUGUUGGGCGGUUGGGGGUGGAUUCGCGGCUUUUCAGUUUGUUGGUGGGGUCGUGGCUUACGAAGGCUUUGACAGGUGGCCGGCUGGGAGGGGUGAACGGCCAAGAUGGGAAUGGGAUGCGGCAGAGAGUACUACGGGAGACAGCAGUGGAGAAUAUUGCAGACUGGGCGGAGGCGUGAAGCAGCACCGCCGGGUGGGGGAUGACGUCUUUCGGGUUGAAAACCGCUGGCGCCUGAGACGAAGGGUGUGAGGGGGUAGGAGGAAAAGAAGCACGGGAAAACCACG
RNAcentral lists this ribosomal RNA (466 nucleotides) under uncultured bacterium. Its description in RNAcentral is "partial 16S ribosomal RNA". It matches the Rfam family "Bacterial small subunit ribosomal RNA", at positions 28 to 505 of the family's 1533-position model. The record is from RNAcentral.